This 426-nucleotide ribosomal RNA is filed under the name uncultured bacterium. RNAcentral describes it as "SSU rRNA". It matches the Rfam family "Bacterial small subunit ribosomal RNA", at positions 371 to 808 of the family's 1533-position model. The record is from RNAcentral.
AUGGGCGCAGCCUGAUGCAGCGACGCCGCGUGCGGGAUGACGGCCUUCGGGUUGUAAACCGCUUUUGAUCGGGAGCAAGCCUUCGGGUGAGUGUACCUUUCGAAUAAGCACCGGCUAACUACGUGCCAGCAGCCGCGGUAAUACGUAGGGUGCAAGCGUUAUCCGGAAUUAUUGGGCGUAAAGGGCUCGUAGGCGGUUCGUCNCGUCCGGUGUGAAAGUCCAUCGCUUAACGGUGGAUCCGCGCCGGGUACGGGCGGGCUUGAGUGCGGUAGGGGAGACUGGAAUUCCCGGUGUAACGGUGGAAUGUGUAGAUAUCGGGAAGAACACCAAUGGCGAAGGCAGGUCUCUGGGCCGUUACUGACGCUGAGGAGCGAAAGCGUGGGGAGCGAACAGGAUUAGAUACCCUGGUAGUCCAAGGGCGAAUUC